This 523-nucleotide ribosomal RNA is filed under the name uncultured bacterium. Its description in RNAcentral is "bacterial SSU rRNA". It matches the Rfam family "Bacterial small subunit ribosomal RNA", at positions 362 to 879 of the family's 1533-position model. The record is from RNAcentral.
UCUUCGGCAAUGGGCGCAAGCCUGACCGAGCGACGCCGCGUGCGGGAUGAAGGCCUUCGGGUUGUAAACCGCUGUCGUAGAGGAGGAAGUGCAGGAGGGUUCUCCCUCCUGUUUGACCUAUUCUAGGAGGAAGGACGGGCUAAGUUCGUGCCAGCAGCCGCGGUAAGACGAACCGUCCAAACGUUACUCGGAAUUACUGGGCUUAAAGGGUGCGUAGGCUGCGCGGAAAGCCGGAUGUGAAAGCCCUCAGCUCAACUGGGGAAUUGCACUCGAAACUACCGUGCUCGAGGGAGACAGAGGUAAGCGGAACUCAAGGUGGAGCGGUGAAAUGCGUUGAUAUCUUGAGGAACACCGGUGGCGAAGGCGGCUUACUGGGUCUCUUCUGACGCUGAGGCACGAAAGCCAAGGUAGCAAACGGGAUUAGAUACCCCGGUAGUCUUGGCUGUAAACGAUGAGCACUUGUUUGAAGGGUCCUCCAUAGCCUUUCAGACGUAGCGAAAGUGUUAAGUGCUCCGCCUGGGGA